AGUGGAUGGGGAGCAACCUAGUUGUGCGUGUGUAAAGGUAGUGCCAAGAAAAGCGAUGAUCAAGUUGAAAAUCAAUUCCCGGUACCCGAAACCGACACAGGUGGGCAAGUAGAGAAUACUAAGGGGCGCGAGGUAACUCUCUCCAAGGAACUCGGCAAAAUGACCCCGUAACUUAGGGAGAAGGGGUGCCACCGAGAGGUGGUCGCAGUGAAGAGGCCCAGGCGACUGUUUAGCAAAAACAUAGGUCUCUGCAAACUCGAAAGAGGAGGUAUAGGGGCUGACGCCUGCCCAGUGCCGGAAGGUUAAAGAAGUUGGUCAGUUUUAGGAUGAAGCUAGCGACUGAAGCCCCGGUGAACGGCGGCCGUAACUAUAACGGUCCUAAGGUAGCGAAAUUCCUUGUCGGGUAAGUUCCGACCCGCACGAAAGGCGUAACGAUCUGGGCGCUGUCUCGGAGAGAGGCUCGGCGAAAUAGGAUUGUCUGUGAAGAUACGGACUACCUGCAUUUGGACAGAAAGACCCUAUGAAGCUUUACUAUAGCUUGGAAUUGUGUUCGGGCUUCCUGUGCGCAGGAUAGGUGGGAGGCGUAGAAGGUAUUCUUGUGGGGAUACUGGAGCCAACGGUGAGAUACCACUCAGGAGGCUAGAAUUCUAACUUAAUUAAGGACAGUUUCAGGUGGGUAGUUUGACUGGGGCGGUCGCCUCCAAAAAGGUAACGGAGGCGUACAAAGGUUCCCUCAGACUGGUUGGAAAUCAGUCGAAGAGUGCAAAGGCAGAAGGGAGCUUGACUGCGAGAAGUACAGUUCGAGCAGGGUGGAAACACGGUCUUAGUGAUCCGACGGUGCUGUGUGGAAGGGCCGUCGCUCAACGGAUAAAAGUUACUCUAGGAUAACAGGCUGAUCUCCCCCAAGAGUUCACAUCGACGGGGAGGUUUGGCACCUCGAUGUCGGCUCAUCGCAACCUGGGGCGGAAGUACGUCCCAAGGGUUGGGCUGUUCGCCCAUUAAAGCGGUACGUGAGCUGGGUUCAGAACGUCGUGAGACAGUUCGGUCCAUAUCCGAUGUAGGCGUGAGAAUAUUGAGAGGAGCCUUCCUUAGUACGAGAGGACCGGGAAGGACGCACCGCUGGUGUACCUGUUAUGAUGCCAAUUGUAAACGCAGGGUAGCCAAGUGCGGAGAGGAUAACCGCUGAAAGCAUCUAAGUGGGAAGCCCACCUCAAGAUGAGUAUUCUGGUGUAAGGUCACGGGAAGACGACCCGUAAAUAGGCACGAGGUGGAAGUGCAGAGAUGUAUGAAGCCGAAGUGUACUAAUAGACCGUCGGCUUGACC
RNAcentral lists this ribosomal RNA (1323 nucleotides) under metagenome. RNAcentral describes it as "bacterial LSU rRNA". It matches the Rfam family "Bacterial large subunit ribosomal RNA", at positions 1561 to 2925 of the family's 2925-position model. The record is from RNAcentral.